GCAGCCGCGGUAAUACGGAGGAUGCAAGCGUUAUCCGGAUUUAUUGGGUUUAAAGGGUGCGUAGGCGGUUUUUUAAGUCAGUGGUGAAAAGCAAAAGCUUAACUUUUGGAGUGCCAUUGAAACUGAGAGACUUGAAUACGGUUGCCGUGGGAGGAAUGUGUAGUGUAGCGGUGAAAUGCAUAGAUAUUACACAGAACACCGAUUGCGAAGGCAUCUCACGAAGCCGGCAUUGACGCUGAGGCACGAAAGUGUGGGGAUCAAACAGGAUUAGAUACCCC
Molecule: ribosomal RNA, 278 nt
Filed under: uncultured Ruminococcus sp.
Lineage: Bacteria; Bacillati; Bacillota; Clostridia; Eubacteriales; Oscillospiraceae
Description: partial 16S ribosomal RNA
Rfam family: Bacterial small subunit ribosomal RNA
Source: RNAcentral